Molecule: long non-coding RNA, 1362 nt
Filed under: Phocoena sinus (vaquita)
Lineage: Eukaryota; Metazoa; Chordata; Mammalia; Artiodactyla; Phocoenidae
Description: lncRNA (ENSPSNG00000019761.1)
Source: RNAcentral
AGGUGAGAGGGCUGCGCCGCUGGGAUGCUGGGGCUCCUGAAGGCCCGCGUCCUGAGGAAAGGGAAGUUGGAGACCGAGUCCGUCCCGACACUGUGACUCUCCCGGCGGCGGAGCCGCGCAGAGACGAUACGCGGGGCCUCUCGCUGUUGUGGCCUCUCCCGUUGCGGAGCACAGGCUCCAGAUGCACAGGCUCAGCUGCCAUGGCUCACGGGCCCAGCCACUCUGAGACAUGUGGGAUCUUUCCGGACCGGGGCACAAGCCCGUGUCCCCUGCAUCGGCAGCGGACUCUGAACCACUGCGCCACCAGGGAAGCCCUGCUGAAAUCUUGAGCACAGUCACAGGAACCACAUCCAUUAAUGCCCUUUGAUAUUCUUAUUGGCUCUUUCCUGAUAUAAUCCCUUCCCCCAGUCGUGGAGUUCCUACUGGGAUUUUAUUUGAGAUUGCUAUGAAUUUGUACAUCAGCAUGGAGAGAACUGAUAUUUUUAUAACAUUGAGACUUCCUAUCUAGGAAUUUGUUAUAUCCCUCAUUAUAGUUUUUUGUAAAGAUUUUCAUAUUUUUCAUGCUAUUAUUAGGGUAUACCUUUCAAAUAAUUUAAAUUUUCUGAAAUUUUUUGUAUUGAACUUGAAAUCGACUUUCUAAAACUCUUAUUUUGGAUACUUUUCUUUGAAUUUUGUGUAUAUGAUUGUUUUACUAUAUUACUCUAAGAACUUUAGAAAAAUGCUGAAUAAAGUUGGAGAUAGCAGGCAUCCUUAUUUUUGUCCUACUUUUAAGUUGAACACUGUCCAUAUUAACUAUAAUAUUUGUUGUAGGUAUUUGUAAAAAUACUUUUUUUAAAAAGGCAAACAUAUAGGCAUGAAGAAUACAUAGUGGUUGCCAGAAGUUAAGAGUGCUGAGAGGUUUUUGUUUCAAAAGGGUAUGAAGCAGUUUGGGGGGCAAUAAUGAAACAGUUCUGUAUUUUGACUGAAGUGGUGGUUACACAGAUCUAUGCAUGUGUCAGAACUCAUAAAACUGUACCAAAUAAAAUGAACUUCUGUGUAUAUAUAUAAAUUUUAAAUUAAAAAAAGUUAAAUCUCAGUAAAUGAUAUCUUACAUGUUUUACAUAAACAUUUACAUUUCUUUCAAUUCUCAUAAUCAACUUUUACAAACACGUAUUCAUUUGAAUUUUCUUUUUUAUUAUAUUGCUGCUUAGUUCUGUAGCCUAUUUUAAGUUUUUUCUUUCUAUUGAUUUAAAGAUCUUAUUAAGUAAUACAUCUUUUCUUUUGUAUAGUAAAAAUAUAAUUUCCUGGUUUCUUUGCUUUUAACAUCUUUUAAAAACUAGAACUGAGUUGUUUGCUAUUCUUCAUAAUAAAAUGUAUCACAUU